Molecule: long non-coding RNA, 916 nt
Organism: Penaeus chinensis
Lineage: Eukaryota; Metazoa; Arthropoda; Malacostraca; Decapoda; Penaeidae
Exons: 5
Source: RefSeq, a predicted model, not a curated record
UAGAUGUCUAGCACAUUUAUUUUGCUUCUAACCAUUAACCAUAAAUAAACACAAGCGUGAGAGAGGGAUUCCCGAGCCCCCCCAAAAAGUUAAUUUCACAGGCCUCUCGCGGGGUAUAGAAGUGCCCAGACAACCCCUUCGCUCGCCCCCUUCCUCGCCCUCUUUUCUCCUCGGGCGUCGCCGCUUUCGAAGCUACGUUCGGGCUGGUGCUGUUCUCCCUCUGCGUCGCUGGGUGGGCGGCCUCCACGCCUGCGGGAGAUGCCACUUCCGAGACGCCCUACGCCCACGAGAAGUGCCCUUGCGCCGUCCUUCGUGCGGAAGACGUCGCUCACUCGCUCGCCGACUUCAGGAACAUCUCUGAAGAGGCGACGCUGGCGACGGCGGUCAGCACGGAGCGAGCAGGAAAGCGAGGCCCUUUGAGCAGCCAUACCAAGAGUCCUGAGGAAUGUCACGAGUAACCCAUGCAACAGAGGAAUCAAGAUGCUCUCAGACCAUAGCAUGGACGAGGAGCCACCAGGGGAGCUCUCUGAACACCAGGUGAAGGAGCAACUCGUGGAGGUGCGGCACCUGACUGUCCUUCAAUGGAAUCAUAGAGGACUAAGGUCUCAUCUGGAGAAAAUUUUAGAGGAAGGGUUGCUUAUUCACCAUGUUGUUCAGCUGACAUGCAGUCUUGUAACCUUCUGAACUUACGUCGACUUCGAAACCUCUCAGUGCUAAUGCAGAGUGGCAACAACGUAACCCAUUUUUCGGAAGACUUCAGGGCCUCUACGUAGACCACAGUUAGCCGAAGGAGUAGCCACAUUCAUCGGCCACUCUGCCGAUGCUCAGCUGUGUCUCUUGCUUGCAAUUCUCCGACUCAUCUUCGAGCUGUCUCUUGUAAGGCUCUCUGUGUGUUUUUUUGUAAGGUGUCAUUAGA